AUCACGGAGAGUUUGAUCCUGGCUCAGGACGAACGCUGGCGGCGUGCUUUAUACAUGCAAGUCGAACGAGGACCGGGUGCUUGCACCUGGAGCCGAGUGGCGAACGGGUGAGUAACACGUGACCAAUCUGCCCUUGGGAGAGGGACAACCUGGGGAAACCCGGGCUAAUACCGCAUGACGUGCGGCCAUCACAUGGUGGCGGCACCAAAGGGGGGCCUCUACUUGUAAGCUCUCGCCCAGGGAGGAGGUCGCGGCGUAUCAGCUUG
RNAcentral lists this ribosomal RNA (266 nucleotides) under Gemmatimonadota bacterium. RNAcentral describes it as "partial 16S ribosomal RNA". It matches the Rfam family "Bacterial small subunit ribosomal RNA", at positions 1 to 248 of the family's 1533-position model. Lineage: Bacteria; Pseudomonadati; Gemmatimonadota. The record is from RNAcentral.